Molecule: unclassified non-coding RNA, 441 nt
Filed under: uncultured fungus
Lineage: Eukaryota; Fungi
Description: partial contains small subunit ribosomal RNA, internal transcribed spacer 1, and 5.8S ribosomal RNA
Rfam family: Eukaryotic small subunit ribosomal RNA (bases 1-73)
Source: RNAcentral
UCAAACUUGGUCAUUUAGAGGAAGUAAAAGUCGUAACAAGGUUUCCGUAGGUGAACCUGCGGAAGGAUCAUCAAUGAAUUUUAUAAAAUUCAUUUGGCUUUGGUGGAGAGGGGCCCUAUUCUCUUUGUAAUUUUUUUUGCUAAGAGGGUUGGGUUUUUAACCAUUCAUCGCCUUAUCAACCAUUAGUCUCUGUCUAACAAAGGUGUUUUGAGAUUUUACCUUUUUCUCAGCCCUUUGCGAUUGACAUUGACUUUUUGCAGAGUGUCUGGAUUUAGGUGUCCCCCGUCCUCUUGUUUGUUGGGUAGGUUUAUUUAUCUUCCAAACAAUAAAUAGGGCGGUAACCUCUCUCUCUUUCACUCGUUUCUGUGGGCAUCAAAAAAAAAUUAAAAUACAACUUUUAACGAUGGAUCUCUUGGCUCCCGCAUCGAUGAAGAACGCAGC